GAUGAACGCUAGCGGCAGGCUUAAUACAUGCAAGUCGAGGGGCAACAGGGGUAGCAAUACCUGCUGGCGACCGGCAAACGGGUGCGCAACACGUACAGAACCUUCCUUUAAGCGGGGGAUAGCCCAUAGAAAUAGUGGAUUAAUACCCACUGGUUAUUAUUGAUUGGCAUCAGUUAAUAAUUAAAGAUUUAUUCACUUAAAGAUGGCUGUGCGUCUGAUUAGGUUAGNGGUUAGGGGUAACGGGCCCACCAAGCCAACGAUCAGUAACUGGUGUGAGAGCACGACCAGUCACACGGGCGACUGAGACACGGGCCCGGACUCCUACGGGAGGCAGCAGUAAGGAAUAUUGGUCAAUGGACGGAAGUCUGAACCAGCCAUGCCG
Molecule: ribosomal RNA, 382 nt
Filed under: uncultured bacterium
Lineage: Bacteria
Description: bacterial SSU rRNA
Rfam family: Bacterial small subunit ribosomal RNA
Source: RNAcentral